NNAAGGGUUCCAGAGUCAAGCUAAUCUGCUCUGGGUAAGUCGGGCCCUAAGGCGAGGCCGACAGGCGUAGUCGAUGGACAACGGGUUGAUAUUCCCGUACCGGUUUUGUUGCGCCAAUAUUGAACCCAAUAAUGCUAAGUGUUUGAACCUGGGAGCAAUCUCAGCGGAUGGCACGACCCAGUUUGGUAGUAGAUAAGCAAAGGAGUGACGCAGGAAGGUAGCCCAUCCCGGGCGAUGGUUGUCCCGGGGUAAGGAUGUAGGUGGGUGUGUAGGCAAAUCCGCACACUAAUACUGAGAUCUGACGCCGAGGCGUAAGCCGAAGUGGGUAAUCCUAUGCUGCCGAGAAAAGCUUCUAGCAAGUGACAAAUCCGCCCGUACCCGAAACCGACACAGGUGGUCAGGUAGAGAAUACUAAGGCGAUCGAGCAAACCGUAGUUAAGGAACUCGGCAAAAUGCCCCCGUAACUUCGGGAGAAGGGGGGCCUUGAAUUGUGUAGGGAUUUACUCCCGAAGCAGUUCAUGGCCGCAGAAACAAGGCCCAAGCGACUGUUUAACAAAAACACAGGUCCGUGCGAAGUAGUAACACGAUGUAUACGGACUGACGCCUGCCCGGUGCUGGAAGGUCAAGGGGACGGGUUAAGGAGUAAUCCUGAAGCUCAGAACUUAAGCCCCAGUAAACGGCGGUGGUAACUAUAACCAUCCUAAGGUAGCGAAAUUCCUUGUCGGGUAAGUUCCGACCUGCACGAAUGGCGUAACGACUUGGGCGCUGUCUCAACUAUGGACUCGGCGAAAUUGCAGUACGAGUAAAGAUGCUCGUUACGCGUGGAAGGACGGAAAGACCCCGGGACCUUUACUAUAACUUGGUAUUGGCGGUCGAUUCGGAUUGUGUAGCAUAGGUGGGAGACUUUGAAGCAGGGACGCCAGUUCUUGUGGAGUCGAAAAUUGAAAUACCACUCUGUUCGUAUUGGCUGUCUAACCUCGAUCCAUAAUCUGGAUUAGGGACAGUGCCUGGCGGGUAGUUUAACUGGGGCGGUUGCCUCCCAAAAAGUAACGGAGGCGCUCAAAGGUUCCCUCAGCCUGGUUGGUAAUCAGGUGUUGAGUGUAAGUGCACAAGGGAGCUUGACUGCGAGACCGACGGGUCGAGCAGGGACGAAAGUCGGAACUAGUGAUCCGGCACCGGCAAGUGGAAGCGGUGUCGCUCAACGGAUAAAAGGUACCCCGGGGAUAACAGGCUGAUCUUCCCCAAGAGUCCACAUCGACGGGAUGGUUUGGCACCUCGAUGUCGGCUCGUCGCAUCCUGGGGCUGGAGUAGGUCCCAAGGGUUGGGCUGUUCGCCCAUUAAAGCGGUACGCGAGCUGGGUUCAGAACGUCGUGAGACAGUUCGGUCCCUAUCCUCCACGCGCGAAAGAGUUUUGAGAGGACCUGUCUCUAGUACGAGAGGACCGAGAUGGACGAACCUCUGGUGUGCCAGUUGUCCUGCCAAGGGCAUGGCUGGUUGGCCACGUUCGGACGAGAUAACCGCUGAAAGCAUCUAAGCGGGAAGCUCACCUCAAGAUGAGAACUCUCACAGGGUUAACCUGGUAAGACCCCCAGAAGAUGACUGGGUUGAUAGGCCGGAUGUGGAAGCGCAGCAAUGCGUGGAGCUGACCGGUACUAAUAGGUCGAGGGCUUGUUU
This 1674-nucleotide ribosomal RNA is filed under the name Actinomycetes bacterium. RNAcentral describes it as "partial 23S ribosomal RNA". It matches the Rfam family "Bacterial large subunit ribosomal RNA", at positions 1345 to 2925 of the family's 2925-position model. Lineage: Bacteria; Bacillati; Actinomycetota; Actinomycetes. The record is from RNAcentral.